AGAGUUGAUUCUGGCUCAGGAUGAACGCUGGCGGCGUGCUUAACACAUGCAAGUCGAACGAAGCUAAGGGAGCUUGCUCCCAAAGCUAGUGGCGGACGGGUGAGUAACGCGUGGGUAACCUGCCCUAUAGAGGGGGAUAACGUUCGAAACGAACGGCUAAUACCGCAUAAACCAUAAAGAGCUGCAUGGCUCUGAUGGCAAAGAUUUAUCGCUAUAGGAUGGACCUGCGUUGGAUUAGCUAGUUGGUGAGAUAACAGCUCACCAAGGCGACGAUCCAUAGCCGGCCUGAGAGGGUGAACGGCCACAUUGGGACUGAGACACGGCCCAAACUCCUACGGGAGGCAGCAGUGGGGAAUAUUGCACAAUGGGCGCAAGCCUGAUGCCAGCGACGCCGCGUGAAGGAAGAAGGUCUUCGGAUUGUAAACUUCUAUCAGCAGGGAAGAAUAAAUGACGGUACCUGACUAAGAAGCCCCGGCUAACUACGUGCCAGCAGCCGC
RNAcentral lists this ribosomal RNA (497 nucleotides) under uncultured bacterium. RNAcentral describes it as "bacterial SSU rRNA". It matches the Rfam family "Bacterial small subunit ribosomal RNA", at positions 8 to 518 of the family's 1533-position model. The record is from RNAcentral.